CACAGACAGCUCCCAAAGCCUGGGCCCGGCUGACAUCUUGCAAUUCUAACAUUUAGACUUACAUCCACGACCGAGCUGCGGGUUCUCCCUUCCUCUCAGAGUCCCGCCUCGUCCCUCCUGCAGCCCCGUCAGUUCCCCCAGAUGCCUCUAGUCAGUGCUUCCUCUGCGCCCCUCUUCUCUUCAGCACGACUCUGACUGCUUCCCAACAGGUGUCCCUGCUUUUGCUGCUGAAUCCUACAGCUAAUGGAAACACACGCACACACGCACACACACAUGCACACUAACGCCCUCAACCUCCCUUGGUUGAAUAAAAACUGAGAUUCGCCCCCUCACAUGGCCCUGCACUAUCUAGCUCCUGCCCUGUUCCACCCUUGUCUCCUACCCUCUUUCUGUGGCAGCCAGCUGCCCUUUCUGUUCUCCAGUGCCCCGCUGUGGCUGUGCACACCCUGGCCUGCCUUUGCAUACAUCGCUCUUCCUUUGGCCUGCAAUGCUUUGCUCCCUGACUCUCACCUGGUCACUCGUUCUGCCCCCUGGAUCUCAGCCGCAAUUCCCCUUGACCUCUCAGAACUUUACUGACUGGUGUCUAACAGUCGACGCUGCCACUCUGCACGCCGCCCUAUGUCAUUCCUCAAGCCACUACUUGCUAACUUCUUCAGUUUUUGUUUUGUUUGGUACUGGGGAUCGAACUCAGGACCUUGCACUUGCGAGGCAGCAGAACCACUGAGCUAAAUCCCCAGCCCUUUCUUCCCCAGUUUGUGUUGGUUUGUGUCGUGCUAUGAUGGGAUUGAACCCAGGACCUCCCAGGUGCGAGGCAAGCACUCCGCCCCUGAGCUCAGCCCCGACUCCGGUUCAUUUCUUCUCUGCUUGGCCUCACUGGAAUACGCGCUGCAGAAUGCUGUUCUCUGCUGUGCAGUGGCUUCACCAGGGUCUUUCCAUCCAUCCGCUCACAUGAUGAGAGAGGAAGCGAAGCAGCAGAAAGAAAGGAAGACCCUCAGGGAAGAGGAAUACAGAGACAAGGAAAGGAACAGCGGCCAAAAGGGAAACUAAAAGUGACAAAGCGGGGACAGUGAGAAUAGAAAGCAAAUGAGCCGGGCGUGGCAGCGCAGGCCUGCGAUCUGAGCACUUGGGAGGCUGAGGCAGGAGGAGCGCCACCAGUUCGAGGCCAGCCUGGGCUGCAUAGCGAGACCCUGUCUCUACCCCCUCAUAAGAAGGCAAGAUCCAAGUCAAGAAAUUUGAGCGGCAUUUUCGCUUUUUUCCAUUACAUCUGGACAGCCACCGAGACCUAUAGAUUUUGCCCAGAAGCACACUUGCCCCCAUUCUCCUGCUGCUGCUCCAGAAGUACACAGCCCUGCCAUCUGCUUGCUGGUUGUUAUUAAAUCCUCCUUCCUGUCUCUGUGCUUGGGCUUUCCCCUCCUGCUCCCUAAGAGCCACAGCCCAUCCAUUCUUUUCUCUCUUUUUUUGGUAUAUUUGUUUAUUUAUUUAGCGAUACUGGGGAUUGAACCCGAGGCCUUUGCACUGACCGCAUGGACAUCCCCAGCCCUUUAAAAAAAAAAGCCACUCAGUGUUCUAACAGUCCAGUCUGAGUGGGUUCCUCUCUCACUUAAUUUUUUUCUUCUCCUUCUUUUUCUUUCUUUUUUCCUCAGUGAUGGAGAAGAAACCCAGAGUCUCAUAUGUGCUAGACAAGCGCUCUUCCCACCAGCUACAUCCUGGCCCUCCCUAGAGUACCCGUGGCGCUGCACACACGCAGAAUGGAGUUCAUGCUUCUUUUCUUGGCCUAAACCCUCCAGUCACUCUCUCAGCUUCAGAGCCUCCACCUCUUCCGCGCAUGCCUGCUGCACACUGGGACGCCCAGGUCCGGCCCUUUCGUUUUGUUUUGUUUUUGGUACCGGGGAUCGAACUCGGGUCCUUGCGCUUGCACAGCAGCUGGCGAAACCACUGAGCUACAUCCUGGCCCAAGUCAGACCCUUUCUCACCUCUGGCUUUACACGCAUUCCUUCCUCCACCCGAACCCCUCCUGCCCCCACUGUGAAGGCCAGGCCUUCCGCACUUGCCUGUGGGUGUCCAGGAGCCCCGGUCAAGGACCCAGCGAGCUGUCCCUUUUCGUCCACCAAGCACUCGUGCUCAGUGAGUGUUUGUGGGGUACAAGGAAUGCUGGACAGGAGGGCUGAGACCUGCAGGACUCAGAACAGCGCCCUCCAAGGAGUGGCCCCUUGGCAUCCGGGUAUGUUGGAUUAAAGCACUUGGGAGGCCUCAGAAGCAGCUUCCGAACCCAGGUCUCUCUGAUCUUCUCCUGCCCUCCUGUCUCUUGCCCCUUUUUCUCUCCCAAAGCAAGCUCUAUAGGAACUAGAAUUCCUCUUCCCCGAGACAGCUCCUACAAACUGCAGCAUAGAAAUAAUACUGAAUAAAACCUCGAAGUAUUACUGCAACACCCAUUCCACCCCACACCUUCCCAUGGAACAGCUGGCCAUAAAGAAAUCCUCGCUGAUCUACCUCGUCUGAGAGCAGGGCUAAGACCCCCUAUCCAGAGGGAUCUUGCAGCAUGCCCAGAAGGAAAAAAAUGCCACGUAGACAGGCUACAAAGAAGCUGAACAGAUGGGCUCGGCUGAUUUUUCCCACUAACUCCACUGGGUCAGGCCCUGGUUGUCUCAUCACAUUUCUACACAUCCUUUCAUUCUUCAUCUAGUGUGAACAUACAGUGGACAGUGUUCCUUCGGUCUUCGGGCCUUUAUUUCUGCUUUGUUUUGCUUGUUUGUUCUGAAACAGUUUCAAUAUCUAGCCCAGGCUGGACUCAAGCUUGUGGUCUUCCUGUCUCAGCCUCCCAAGUGCUGGAAUUUCAGAAAUGCACCACCAGGCUGUCUUGAGUCUUCAUUUCUGAAGUCUCCUCUGUUACAUAAAAUUUUGAUUAGGGCGGGGAUUUAGUUCAGUGGUUUCGCCGCCUGCUGCACAAGCCUAAGGACCCGAGUUCAAUCCCCAGUACCAAAAAACCCA
This 2988-nucleotide long non-coding RNA is filed under the name Heterocephalus glaber (naked mole-rat). RNAcentral's name for it is "lncRNA (ENSHGLG00000037875.1)". Lineage: Eukaryota; Metazoa; Chordata; Mammalia; Rodentia; Bathyergidae. The record is from RNAcentral.